RNAcentral lists this ribosomal RNA (253 nucleotides) under uncultured bacterium. RNAcentral's name for it is "partial 16S ribosomal RNA". It matches the Rfam family "Bacterial small subunit ribosomal RNA", at positions 524 to 776 of the family's 1533-position model. The record is from RNAcentral.
UACAGAGGUGGCAAGCGUUGUUCGGAAUUACUGGGCGUAAGGGGCGCGUAGGCGGUUCGUUAAGUCCUGUGUGAAAUCCCCCGGCUCAACUGGGGAACUGCACAGGAAACUAGCGGGCUUGAGUUCGGGAGAGGGAAGCGGAAUUCCGGGUGUAGCGGUGAAAUGCGUAGAUAUCCGGAGGAACACCGGUGGCGAAGGCGGCUUCCUGGACCGACACUGACGCUGAGGCGCGAAAGCUAGGGGAGCAAACAGG